Non-coding RNA from Bombyx mori (domestic silkworm), 69 nucleotides. Lineage: Eukaryota; Metazoa; Arthropoda; Insecta; Lepidoptera; Bombycidae. The record is from Rfam.
CCAGUCGAAGCCGAUGUUCCACAGCAGGGGGCUCAGGACAGACCCCUGCGGAACACCACGCUCGACGGG